This 558-nucleotide ribosomal RNA is filed under the name Aspergillus niger. RNAcentral describes it as "eukaryotic LSU rRNA". The stretch from base 175 to 328 matches the Rfam family "5.8S ribosomal RNA". The record is from RNAcentral. Lineage: Eukaryota; Fungi; Ascomycota; Eurotiomycetes; Eurotiales; Aspergillaceae.
GUGGGGGGCCCAACCUCCCAUCCGUGUCUAUUGUAGCCUGUUGCUUCGGCGGGCCCGCCGCUUGUCGGCCGCCGGGGGGGCGCCUCUGCCCCCCGGGCCCGUGCCCGCCGGAGACCCCAACACGAACACUGUCUGAAAGCGUGCAGUCUGAGUUGAUUGAAUGCAAUCAGUUAAAACUUUCAACAAUGGAUCUCUUGGUUCCGGCAUCGAUGAAGAACGCAGCGAAAUGCGAUAACUAAUGUGAAUUGCAGAAUUCAGUGAAUCAUCGAGUCUUUGAACGCACAUUGCGCCCCCUGGUAUUCCGGGGGGCAUGCCUGUCCGAGCGUCAUUGCUGCCCUCAAGCCCGGCUUGUGUGUUGGGUCGCCGUCCCCCUCUCCGGGGGGACGGGCCCGAAAGGCAGCGGCGCACCGCGUCCGAUCCUCGAGCGUAUGGGGCUUUGUCACAUGCUCUGUAGGAUUGGCCGGCGCCUGCCGACGUUUUCCAACCAUUCUUUCCAGGUUGACCUCGGAUCAGGUAGGGAUACCCGCUGAACUUAAGCAUAUCAAUAAGCCGGAAGAA